Molecule: long non-coding RNA, 743 nt
Organism: Alosa sapidissima (American shad)
Lineage: Eukaryota; Metazoa; Chordata; Actinopteri; Clupeiformes; Clupeidae
Exons: 3
Source: RefSeq, a predicted model, not a curated record
GUUUUUUCUUUGUUUUACAGGCCUACUCAAAGGGAUAGGCAGUCUGCAGGCUGUGCAUAUGUGUUGGACGAUGGUAUCAGCCCACUGUGGGAUGCACUCUGUCUCAUGUCAAAUAUGGUCUCGCAGUAGCUUCCCUCCUGGUAGGGGACAUUUGCCGCCUUGCUCUGGAGAACCAAUGGAACGGCCUUGUACAGCCGCAGACCCUAGAACCGAUCUAGCGCUGAUCACAGACAGAACCAGUUCUGAUCCAUUCCAGAACUUUCCCAAAAUUGGCUCAGUAUUUGGGCCAGCUGUGUGAGCUUAUCCCUUUUGGCUAUUACACAACGGCUAAACAAACAGCGUGCCAGUGACUCUCACCGAAAUUAUCAGCCAUGGCAGAGAUACAGGCUGUUUUCACUGGAGAAGACAAUGGGAACAGGGUGGAAGUGGAUGUGGGGUUGGAGUUUUUUUGACUGGAUAUGGCCAUUGUGCACACGGACGUAGGGUGAUUUAUGGCACAGGCCCGCCCACGUGGUGCCACGGCCAAUGAUAUUGUGUGGGAAAUCACUUCCAGCCAAUCCGAGGCUUCUAUAUCAUUGUGUUCUCUCUGUAAAAAGUCCCCAUUCCUCUUGGGACUCGAAGGUAUGUUUUCAAAGAGGAGGAAAUGAGCGUUUUAUUUAUUAAAUCCUAUACAUUUAUUUAUAAUGCCCUCUCUUUACUGAUUUAUUUUAGGCUUUUGGCAGUGCUGCCUAUGUGCAUUGUUU